GACGAACGCUGGCGGCGUGCCUAAUACAUGCAAGUAGAACGCUGAAGGAGGAGCUUGCUCUUCUGGAUGAGUUGCGAACGGGUGAGUAACGCGUAGGUAACCUGCCUGGUAGCGGGGGAUAACUAUUGGAAACGAUAGCUAAUACCGCAUAACAGUGGAUGUUGCAUGACAUUUACUUAAAAGGUGCAAUUGCAUCACUACCAGAUGGACCUGCGUUGUAUUAGCUAGUUGGUGGGGUAACGGCUCACCAAGGCGACGAUACAUAGCCGACCUGAGAGGGUGAUCGGCCACACUGGGACUGAGACACGGCCCAGACUCCUACGGGAGGCAGCAGUAGGGAAUCUUCGGCAAUGGACGGAAGUCCGACCGAGCAACGCCGCGUGAGUGAAGAAGGUUUUCGGAUCGUAAAGCUCUGUUGUAAGAGAAGAACGAGUGUGAGAGUGGAAAGUUCACACUGUGACGGUAUCUUACCAGAAAGGGACGGCUAACUACGUG
Molecule: ribosomal RNA, 495 nt
Filed under: uncultured bacterium
Lineage: Bacteria
Description: partial 16S ribosomal RNA
Rfam family: Bacterial small subunit ribosomal RNA
Source: RNAcentral